CCUACGGGUGGCAGCAGUGGGGAAUAUUGCGCAAUGGGCGAAAGCCUGACGCAGCGACGCCGCGUGAGGGAUGAAGGUCUUCGGAUCGUAAACCUCUGUCAGCAGGGAAGAACGGUCACUGUGCUAAUCAGCAGUGAAUUGACGGUACCUGCAAAGGAAGCACCAGCUAACUCCGUGCCAGCAGCCGCGGUAAUACGGAGGGUGCGAGCGUUAAUCGGAAUUACUGGGCGUAAAGGGCUCGUAGGCGGUAUGUCAAGUCAAGGGGGAAAUCCCCGGGCUCAACGUGGGAACUGCCUUUGAAACGGGCAAACUGGAGUGUGUGAGAGGAUAGUGGAAGUCCAGGUGUAGGAGUGAAAUGCGUAGAUAUCUGGAGGAACAUCAGUGGCGAAGGCGACUAUCUGGCACAUAACUGACGCUGAGGAGCGAAAGCGUGGGUAGCAAACAGGAUUAGAUACCCGUGUAGUC
RNAcentral lists this ribosomal RNA (465 nucleotides) under uncultured bacterium. RNAcentral's name for it is "partial 16S ribosomal RNA". It matches the Rfam family "Bacterial small subunit ribosomal RNA", at positions 338 to 795 of the family's 1533-position model. The record is from RNAcentral.